RNAcentral lists this unclassified non-coding RNA (546 nucleotides) under Hevea brasiliensis (rubber tree). Lineage: Eukaryota; Viridiplantae; Streptophyta; Magnoliopsida; Malpighiales; Euphorbiaceae. The record is from RNAcentral.
UAAUACCUCAUCUAACUGCUUGCUUAUAAAUGUCUUAUAGGGAUCAAGGGCAUGCUUUUCAAGUCUAAGAUCUUCCUCUAGAAGUCGACGAAGUCCAGCCAUUGUAAUUUUCUCAGAAUUAUCUUUGACAUAGGAAGCUCUCUUCAACAAGGCUUUCUUUAUGCUGCUCUCACUUGGAACUUCUUUAUUCUUAUCAACUAGAGUUUCCUCAGCUUCUGAUUUAGGUGUUUUUUUCCCUGUCAAAAGGCCCAUUACGGGAGAGUCUUCGAUUUUCUCCUCAUCUUCGGAAUAAGGUUCUUUAAUAUCAUUUUUAGAUUCAUAUCCUUCAGGCGAUUCCGUUGCUUCUCUUUUUGUUGAACGGGCGUGUUUUUCCACAGUUUCCCCAGAAUCCUUGGAAGCAUUGCCAUCAACAGCACCUUCUAAGCACUGCACCAGACAUUGCUUGACAAAUCUCUUAUGCACAUCCAAAACAUAUUUCUGCAACCCCAAGUCCUUCUCCAACAGUCUCCUGACCCCCUCAAAGGUCAAAGAAUCGGCUUGUUCUUU